GGUUCAUUAGUGUAGUGGUUAUCACUCUGGAUUUUGACUAGAUGAUCACUUUCCAGCAACCCCGGUUCGAACCCGGGAUGGACCU
RNAcentral lists this transfer RNA (85 nucleotides) under Thelephora terrestris. It matches the Rfam family "tRNA". Rfam says of the family: Transfer RNA (tRNA) molecules are approximately 80 nucleotides in length. Their secondary structure includes four short double-helical elements and three loops (D, anti-codon, and T loops). Further hydrogen bonds mediate the characteristic L-shaped molecular structure. tRNAs have two regions of fundamental functional importance: the anti-codon, which is responsible for specific mRNA codon recognition, and the 3' end, to which the tRNAs corresponding amino acid is attached (by aminoacyl-tRNA synthetases). tRNAs cope with the degeneracy of the genetic code in two manners: having more than one tRNA (with a specific anti-codon) for a particular amino acid; and 'wobble' base-pairing, i.e. permitting non-standard base-pairing at the 3rd anti-codon position. Lineage: Eukaryota; Fungi; Basidiomycota; Agaricomycetes; Thelephorales; Thelephoraceae. The record is from Rfam by way of RNAcentral.